GAUGAACGCUGGCGGCGUGCCUAAUACAUGCAAGUCGAGCGAACAGACGAGGAGCUUGCUCCUCUGACGUUAGCGGCGGACGGGUGAGUAACACGUGGAUAACCUACCUAUAAGACUGGGAUAACUUCGGGAAACCGGAGCUAAUACCGGAUAAUAUAUUGAACCGCAUGGUUCAAUAGUGAAAGACGGUUUUGCUGUCACUUAUAGAUGGAUCCGCGCCGCAUUAGCUAGUUGGUAAGGUAACGGCUUACCAAGGCGACGAUGCGUAGCCGACCUGAGAGGGGGAUCGGCCACACUGGAACUGAGACACGGUCCAGACUCCUACGGGAGGCAGCAGUAGGGAAUCUUCCGCAAUGGGCGAAAGCCGGACGGAGCAACGCCGCGGGAGUGAUGAAGGUCUUCGGAUCGUAAAACUCUGUUAUUAGGGAAGAACAAAUGUGUAAGUAACUAUGCACGUCUUGACGGUACCUAAUCAGAAAGCCACGGCUAACUACGUG
RNAcentral lists this ribosomal RNA (497 nucleotides) under uncultured bacterium. Its description in RNAcentral is "partial 16S ribosomal RNA". It matches the Rfam family "Bacterial small subunit ribosomal RNA", at positions 28 to 507 of the family's 1533-position model. The record is from RNAcentral.